This 311-nucleotide ribosomal RNA is filed under the name uncultured bacterium. RNAcentral describes it as "bacterial SSU rRNA". It matches the Rfam family "Bacterial small subunit ribosomal RNA", at positions 202 to 509 of the family's 1533-position model. The record is from RNAcentral.
AGCAAUCCGUCACCUGAGGAUGGGCCUGCGUCUGAUUAGGUAGUUGGUGAGGUAACGGCCCACCAAGCCGACGAUCAGUAGCCGGUCUGAGAGGAUGAACGGCCACAUUGGGACUGAGACACGGCCCAGACUCCUACGGGAGGCAGCAGUGGGGAAUCUUCCGCAAUGGGCGAAAGCCUGACGGAGCAACGCCGCGUGAGUGAAGAAGGUCUUCGGAUCGUAAAGCUCUGUUGUCGGGGACGAAGGGGCAGAUCAGGAAAUGGGUCUGCUUAGACGGUACCUGACGAGGAAGCCACGGCUAACUACGUGCC